Molecule: ribosomal RNA, 484 nt
Filed under: uncultured bacterium
Lineage: Bacteria
Description: partial 16S ribosomal RNA
Rfam family: Bacterial small subunit ribosomal RNA
Source: RNAcentral
GACGAACGCUGGCGGCGUGCUUAACACAUGCAAGUCGAACGAUGAUGCUGGAGCUUGCUCCAGUUGAUUAGUGGCGAACGGGUGAGUAACACGUGAGCAAUCUGCCCUUGACUCUGGGAUAACUGCGGGAAACUGUAGCUAAUACCGGAUACUUUCACCGGAAGGCAUCUUCUGGUGAUGAAAGAAUUUCGGUCAGGGAUGAGCUCGCGGCCUAUCAGCUUGUUGGUGAGGUAACGGCUCACCAAGGCGACGACGGGUAACCGGCCUGAGAGGGUGACCGGUCACACUGGGACUGAGACACGGCCCAGACUCCUACGGGAGGCAGCAGUGGGGAAUAUUGCACAAUGGGCGCAAGCCUGAUGCAGCAACGCCGCGUGAGGGAUGAAGGCCUUCGGGUUGUAAACCUCUUUUAGCAGGGAAGAAGCGAAAGUGACGGUACCUGCAGAAAAAGCACCGGCUAACUACGUGCCAGCCGCCGUAAGAC